This 76-nucleotide transfer RNA is filed under the name Candidatus Spyradosoma merdigallinarum. RNAcentral's name for it is "tRNA-Phe". It matches the Rfam family "tRNA". From Rfam's summary of the family: Transfer RNA (tRNA) molecules are approximately 80 nucleotides in length. Their secondary structure includes four short double-helical elements and three loops (D, anti-codon, and T loops). Lineage: Bacteria; Pseudomonadati; Verrucomicrobiota; Opitutia. The record is from RNAcentral.
GGUCAGGUAGCUCAGUCGGUAGAGCAAGGGACUGAAAAUCCCUGUGUCGGCGGUUCGAUUCCGCCCCUGACCACCA